ACCCUCGUAUUAUUGUGUUCUGGGUUGAGACCGAGCUUAGCCUUGUUCAUUUUUUUACACAACACCUCCGUAAAAAAUAAAACACGGUUGGUCGGAGAUAGCCCUUUGCGAGGGAAAUAGCGGAUAAUGGCUUGCCCCGAUAUGCAGCAAAUCUGCCGUCGAUGUGCCAUUUCAGGGCAU
This is a non-coding RNA of Pseudomonas putida S11, 180 nucleotides long. The record is from Rfam. NCBI's taxonomy places the organism in Bacteria, Pseudomonadati, Pseudomonadota, Gammaproteobacteria, Pseudomonadales, Pseudomonadaceae.